This 629-nucleotide ribosomal RNA is filed under the name uncultured soil bacterium. Its description in RNAcentral is "bacterial SSU rRNA". It matches the Rfam family "Bacterial small subunit ribosomal RNA", at positions 34 to 676 of the family's 1533-position model. The record is from RNAcentral.
CGCUGGCGGCGUGCCUCAGACAUGCAAGUCNAACGAUUAAAGCUCUCUUCGGAGAGUGCWUACGAGUGGCGCACGGGUGAGUAACACGUAAGUAAUCUACCUUCGAGUGGGGAAUAACAGUCGGAAACGGCUGCUAAUACCGCAUAAUGCAGCGGCAUCGCAAGAUGACAGUUGUUAAAGAUUUAUCGCUUGAAGAGGAGCUUGCGGCAGAUUAGCUAGUUGGUAAGGUAAUGGCUUACCAAGGCUACGAUCUGUAACCGGUCUAAGAGGACGGUCGGUCACACUGACACUGAAUAACGGGUCAGACUCCUACGGGAGGCAGCAGUCGGGAAUUUUGGGCAAUGGGCGAAAGCCUGACCCAGCAACGCCGCGUGAAGGAUGAAGUAUUUCGGUAUGUAAACUUCGAAAGAAUAGGAAGAAUUAAUGACGGUACUAUUUAUAAGGUCCGGCUAACUACGUGCCAGCAGCCGCGGUAAUACGUAGGGACCAAGCGUUGUUCGGAUUUACUGGGCGUAAAGGGCGCGUAGGCGGCAUGACAAGUCACUUGUGAAAUCUCCGGGCUUAACUCGGAACGGCCAAGUGAUACUGUCACGCUAGAGUGCGGAAGGGGCAAUCAGAAUUCUUGGUGU